RNAcentral lists this transfer RNA (94 nucleotides) under Mindarus abietinus. Its description in RNAcentral is "tRNA-Val". Lineage: Eukaryota; Metazoa; Arthropoda; Insecta; Hemiptera; Mindaridae. The record is from RNAcentral.
UAAAUAGCUAAAUUUUUAAGUAUAUUAUUUACAAUAAUAUGAUGUUUAUAAACUUUAUUUAAAUUUUUUUUAUUAAUUAAUUUUUUAUUAUUAU